RNAcentral lists this ribosomal RNA (484 nucleotides) under uncultured bacterium. Its description in RNAcentral is "partial 16S ribosomal RNA". It matches the Rfam family "Bacterial small subunit ribosomal RNA", at positions 30 to 507 of the family's 1533-position model. The record is from RNAcentral.
AUUGAACGCUGGCGGCAGGCCUAACACAUGCAAGUCGAGCGGAUGAAGGGAGCUUGCUCCUGGAUUCAGCGGCGGACGGGGGAGUAAUGCCUAGGAAUCUGCCUGGUAGGGGGGGAUAACGUCCGGAAACGGGCGCUAAUACCGCAUACGUCCUGAGGGAGAAAGAGGGGGAUCUUCGGACCGCACGCUAGCAGAGGAGCCUAGGUCGGAUUAGCUAGUUGGUGGGGUAAAGGCCUACCAAGGCGACGAUCCGUAACUGGUCUGAGAGGAUGAUCAGUCACACUGGAACUGAGACACGGUCCAGACUCCUACGGGAGGCAGCAGUGGGGAAUAUUGGACAAUGGGCGAAAGCCUGGUCCAGCCAUGCCGCGUGUGUGAAGAAGGUCUUCGGAUUGUAAAGCACUUUAAGUUGUGAGGAAGGGCAGUAAGUUAAUACCUUGCUGUUUUGACGUUACCAACAGAAUAAGCACCGGCUAACUUCGUG